GAGUUUGAUCAUGGCUCAGAUUGAACGCUGGCGGCAGGCCUAACACAUGCAAGUCGAACGGUAACAGGAAACAGCUUGCUGUUUCGCUGACGAGUGGCGGACGGGUGAGUAAUGUCUGGGAAACUGCCUGAUGGAGGGGGAUAACUACUGGAAACGGUAGCUAAUACCGCAUAACGUCGCAAGACCAAAGAGGGGGACCUUCGGGCCUCUUGCCAUCAGAUGUGCCCAGAUGGGAUUAGCUAGUAGGUGGGGUAACGGCUCACCUAGGCGACGAUCCCUAGCUGGUCUGAGAGGAUGACCAGCCACACUGGAACUGAGACACGGUCCAGACUCCUACGGGAGGCAGCAGUGGGGAAUAUUGCACAAUGGGCGCAAGCCUGAUGCAGCCAUGCCGCGUGUAUGAAGAAGGCCUUCGGGUUGUAAAGUACUUUCAGCGGGGAGGAAGGGAGUAAAGUUAAUACCUUUGCUCAUUGACGUUACCCGCAGAAGAAGCACCGGCUAACUCCGUGCCAGCAGCCGCGGUAAUACGGAGGGUGCAAGCGUUAAUCGGAGUUACUGGGCGUAAAGCGCACGCAGGCGGUUUGUUAAGUCAGAUGUGAAAUCCCCGGGCUCAACCUGGGAACUGCAUCUGAUACUGGCAAGCUUGAGUCUCGUAGAGGGGGGUAGAAUUCCAGGUGUAGCGGUGAAAUGCGUAGAGAUCUGGAGGAAUACCGGUGGCGAAGGCGGCCCCCUGGACGAAGACUGACGCUCAGGUGCGAAAGCGUGGGGAGCAAACAGGAUUAGAUACCCUGGUAGUCCACGCCGUAAACGAUGUCGACUUGGAGGUUGUGCCCUUGAGGCGUGGCUUCCGGAGCUAACGCGUUAAGUCGACCGCCUGGGGAGUACGGCCGCAAGGUUAAAACUCAAAUGAAUUGACGGGGGCCCGCACAAGCGGUGGAGCAUGUGGUUUAAUUCGAUGCAACGCGAAGAACCUUACCUGGUCUUGACAUCCACGGAAGUUUUCAGAGAUGAGAAUGUGCCUUCGGGAACCGUGAGACAGGUGCUGCAUGGCUGUCGUCAGCUCGUGUUGUGAAAUGUUGGGUUAAGUCCCGCAACGAGCGCAACCCUUAUCCUUUGUUGCCAGCGGUCCGGCCGGGAACUCAAAGGAGACUGCCAGUGAUAAACUGGAGGAAGGUGGGGAUGACGUCAAGUCAUCAUGGCCCCUUACGACCAGGGCUACACACGUGCUACAAUGGCGCAUACAAAGAGAAGCGACCUCGCGAGAGCAAGCGGACCUCAUAAAGUGCGUCGUAGUCCGGAUUGGAGUCUGCAACUCGACUCCAUGAAGUCGGAAUCGCUAGUAAUCGUGGAUCAGAAUGCCACGGUGAAUACGUUCCCGGGCCUUGUACACACCGCCCGUCACACCAUGGGAGUGGGUUGCAAAAGAAGUAGGUAGCUUAACCUUCGGGAGGGCGCUUACCACUUUGUGAUUCAUGACUGGGGUGAAGUCGUAACAAGGUAACCGUAGGGGAACCUGCGGUUG
This 1522-nucleotide ribosomal RNA is filed under the name metagenome. RNAcentral describes it as "bacterial SSU rRNA". It matches the Rfam family "Bacterial small subunit ribosomal RNA". The record is from RNAcentral.